Molecule: ribosomal RNA, 264 nt
Filed under: uncultured bacterium
Lineage: Bacteria
Description: partial 16S ribosomal RNA
Rfam family: Bacterial small subunit ribosomal RNA
Source: RNAcentral
GUCCACGCCCUAAACUAUGUCAACUAGACGUUGGCCCCUUUAAUGGGGUUAGUGUCGAAGCUAACGCGUUAAGUUGACCGCCUGGGGAGUACGGCCGCAAGGUUGAAACUCAAAGGAAUUGACGGGGGCCCGCACAAGCGGUGGAGCAUGUGGUUUAAUUCGAUGCAACGCGAAGAACCUUACCAGCCCUUGACAUCCUCGGAACUUUGUAGAGAUACAUUGGUGCCUUCGGGAAUCGAGAGACAGGUGCUGCAUGGCUGUCGU